This is a long non-coding RNA of Octopus sinensis (East Asian common octopus), 141 nucleotides long. RefSeq lists it as uncharacterized. Lineage: Eukaryota; Metazoa; Mollusca; Cephalopoda; Octopoda; Octopodidae. The transcript is spliced from 3 exons. The record is from RefSeq and is a predicted model, not a curated record.
UGAAAUGUUAAUGGCUGUGUGUGUGUGUGUGUGUGUGUUGUUAUUUUCCAGCCAUUGUGAAAUACUUUUGCUUUUGUUAAUAAAUGCUGUUGGUUGGUGCAAGAUUUAAUCGUCCAUGCUCCAGCAUGGCCGUAUGUGAUG